Molecule: ribosomal RNA, 651 nt
Filed under: bacterium EAB-M7.01
Lineage: Bacteria
Description: bacterial SSU rRNA
Rfam family: Bacterial small subunit ribosomal RNA
Source: RNAcentral
GGCNCCUUNNAUGCAGUCGAACGGCAGCACGGGUGCUUGCACCUGGUGGCGAGUGGCGAACGGGUGAGUAAUACAUCGGAACAUGUCCUGUAGUGGGGGAUAGCCCGGCGAAAGCCGGAUUAAUACCGCAUACGAUCUACGGAUGAAAGCGGGGGACCUUCGGGCCUCGCGCUAUAGGGUUGGCCGAUGGCUGAUUAGCUAGUUGGUGGGGUAAAGGCCUACCAAGGCGACGAUCAGUAGCUGGUCUGAGAGGACGACCAGCCACACUGGGACUGAGACACGGCCCAGACUCCUACGGGAGGCAGCAGUGGGGAAUUUUGGACAAUGGGCGAAAGCCUGAUCCAGCAAUGCCGCGUGUGUGAAGAAGGCCUUCGGGUUGUAAAGCACUUUUGUCCGGAAAGAAAUCCUUGGCUCUAAUACAGUCGGGGGAUGACGGUACCGGAAGAAUAAGCACCGGCUAACUACGUGCCAGCAGCCGCGGUAAUACGUAGGGUGCGAGCGUUAAUCGGAAUUACUGGGCGUAAAGCGUGCGCAGGCGGUUUGCUAAGACCGAUGUGAAAUCCCCGGGCUCAACCUGGGAACUGCAUUGGUGACUGGCAGGCUAGAGUAUGGCAGAGGGGGGUAGAAUUCCACGUGUAGCAGUGAAAUGCG